ACUUAAAUUGAAGAGUUUGAUCAUGGCUCAGAUUGAACGCUGGCGGCAGGCCUAACACAUGCAAGUCGAGCGGUAGCACAGAGAGCUUGCUCUCGGGUGACGAGCGGCGGACGGGUGAGUAAUGUCUGGGAAACUGCCUGAUGGAGGGGGAUAACUACUGGAAACGGUGGCUAAUACCGCAUAAUGUCGCAAGACCAAAGUGGGGGACCUUCGGGCCUCAUGCCAUCAGAUGUGCCCAGAUGGGAUUAGCUAGUAGGUGGGGUAACGGCUCACCUAGGCGACGAUCCCUAGCUGGUCUGAGAGGAUGACCAGCCACACUGGAACUGAGACACGGUCCAGACUCCUACGGGAGGCAGCAGUGGGGAAUAUUGCACAAUGGGCGCAAGCCUGAUGCAGCCAUGCCGCGUGUGUGAAGAAGGCCUUCGGGUUGUAAAGCACUUUCAGCGGGGAGGAAGGCGUUAAGGUUAAUAACCUUGGCGAUUGACGUUACCCGCAGAAGAAGCACCGGCUAACUCCGUGCCAGCAGCCGCGGUAAUACGGAGGGUGCAAGCGUUAAUCGGAAUUACUGGGCGUAAAGCGCACGCAGGCGGUCUGUCAAGUCGGAUGUGAAAUCCCCGGGCUCAACCUGGGAACUGCAUUCGAAACUGGCAGGCUAGAGUCUUGUAGAGGGGGUAGAAUUCCAGGUGUAGCGGUGAAAUGCGUAGAGAUCUGGAGGAAUACCGGUGGCGAAGGCGGCCCCCUGGACAAAGACUGACGCUCAGGUGCGAAAGCGUGGGGAGCAAACAGGAUUAGAUACCCUGGUAGUCCACGCCGUAAACGAUGUCGAUUUGGAGGUUGUGCCCUUGAGGCGUGGCUUCCGGAGCUAACGCGUUAAAUCGACCGCCUGGGGAGUACGGCCGCAAGGUUAAAACUCAAAUGAAUUGACGGGGGCCCGCACAAGCGGUGGAGCAUGUGGUUUAAUUCGAUGCAACGCGAAGAACCUUACCUGGUCUUGACAUCCACAGAACUUUCCAGAGAUGGAUUGGUGCCUUCGGGAACUGUGAGACAGGUGCUGCAUGGCUGUCGUCAGCUCGUGUUGUGAAAUGUUGGGUUAAGUCCCGCAACGAGCGCAACCCUUAUCCUUUGUUGCCAGCGGUUAGGCCGGGAACUCAAAGGAGACUGCCAGUGAUAAACUGGAGGAAGGUGGGGAUGACGUCAAGUCAUCAUGGCCCUUACGACCAGGGCUACACACGUGCUACAAUGGCAUAUACAAAGAGAAGCGACCUCGCGAGAGCAAGCGGACCUCAUAAAGUAUGUCGUAGUCCGGAUUGGAGUCUGCAACUCGACUCCAUGAAGUCGGAAUCGCUAGUAAUCGUAGAUCAGAAUGCUACGGUGAAUACGUUCCCGGGCCUUGUACACACCGCCCGUCACACCAUGGGAGUGGGUUGCAAAAGAAGUAGGUAGCUUAACCUUCGGGAGGGCGCUUACCACUUUGUGAUUCAUGACUGGGGUGAAGUCGUAACAAGGUAACCGUAGGGGAACCUGCGGUUGGAUCACCUCCUUACCUUAAAGAA
Molecule: ribosomal RNA, 1553 nt
Filed under: Klebsiella pneumoniae subsp. pneumoniae
Lineage: Bacteria; Pseudomonadati; Pseudomonadota; Gammaproteobacteria; Enterobacterales; Enterobacteriaceae
Description: bacterial SSU rRNA
Rfam family: Bacterial small subunit ribosomal RNA
Source: RNAcentral